Molecule: long non-coding RNA, 354 nt
Organism: Poecile atricapillus (Black-capped chickadee)
Lineage: Eukaryota; Metazoa; Chordata; Aves; Passeriformes; Paridae
Exons: 3
Source: RefSeq, a predicted model, not a curated record
UGGAACGGGUGUGUUGGUUCCUCCUCCCGGGUCGUUGUCCCGGUUCCUGACGCCGCCUUGGAGCCCUAGAAGGGAUAGUGCUGCCCCAGCUUGAGGGCACGAGAACACACUCAACUCUUCAUAGCAUUCUACAGAUGGAAAGUAGAAGGCAACCACUUCCUUCAGGACAGGAAGUUUGGCCCAGUGUUGGGGAGUUCCUGGGGUUGCUGUUGUUUCAACCUGCAUCAUGGUGCUACUCAGUUUCUGGAUUUGCUGUAAUAAUGACCCAGGUAACUGUGCUGCUGAUUCAUCCUGUAGUAUUUCCUGUACCACUACCUAGAGAUAAAGUGAACAUCACAACUCAAUUCUGUUUAA